Aricia agestis (brown argus) is the source of this 157-nucleotide long non-coding RNA. RefSeq lists it as uncharacterized. The transcript has 3 exons. NCBI's taxonomy places the organism in Eukaryota, Metazoa, Arthropoda, Insecta, Lepidoptera, Lycaenidae. The record is from RefSeq and is a predicted model, not a curated record.
UUAAUUUUCUCGGGCUACGUAUCUUCUAUCUAUUAAAUAACAAAUGAAAUAAACAACCAGUCUUCUCUUCUAAUGUGCGCUUUUAUAAUUUUGGACGUGGCGGUAAUAUCGUGGACGUCCGCGGUAAAACGACACAUAGGGAAGUACAAUUUAUGGA